Molecule: ribosomal RNA, 411 nt
Filed under: uncultured soil bacterium
Lineage: Bacteria
Description: bacterial SSU rRNA
Rfam family: Bacterial small subunit ribosomal RNA
Source: RNAcentral
AGGACGAACGCUGGCGGCGUGCUUAACACAUGCAAGUCGAGCGGUAAGGCCCUUCGGGGUACACGAGCGGCGAACGGGUGAGUAACACGUGAGUAAUCUGCCCUCCACUUGGGGAUAAGCAUUGGAAACGGUGUCUAAUACCUGAUAUGACUCAGCUACGCAUGUGGUUGGGUGGUAAAGUUUUUUCGGUGGGGGAUGUGCUCGCGGCCUAUCAGUCUUGUUGGUGAGGUAAUGGCUCACCAAGGCUUCGGACGGGUAGCCCGGCUGGAGAGGGGUCGAACCCGGGCCACGACGUGGGACUAGGACGACCACCGGGCCCAGACCUCCGACGGGGAGGCCAGCGAGGUAGGGGAAUGUAGGACAAGUGGGACGGAAGCCUAGACUACCAGCCGAACGCCCGACGGUAGAGGG